RNAcentral lists this ribosomal RNA (253 nucleotides) under uncultured microorganism. RNAcentral's name for it is "partial 16S ribosomal RNA". It matches the Rfam family "Bacterial small subunit ribosomal RNA", at positions 524 to 776 of the family's 1533-position model. The record is from RNAcentral.
AACGGAGGUGGCUAGCGUUACUCGGAUUUACUGGGCGUAAAGCGUGCGCAGGCGGUUUGUUAAGCGAGAUGUGAAAGCCCCGGGCUCAACCUGGGAACCGCAUUUCGAACUGGCAAACUAGAGUCUUGUAGAGGGGGGUAGAAUUCCAGGUGUAGCGGUGAAAUGCGUAGAGAUCUGGAGGAAUACCGGUGGCGAAGGCGGCCCCCUGGACAAAGACUGACGCUCAGGCACGAAAGCGUGGGGAGCAAACAGG